This 104-nucleotide small nucleolar RNA is filed under the name Rhinolophus ferrumequinum (greater horseshoe bat). RNAcentral describes it as "Small nucleolar RNA U13 (ENSRFEG00010003636.1)". It matches the Rfam family "Small nucleolar RNA U13". Lineage: Eukaryota; Metazoa; Chordata; Mammalia; Chiroptera; Rhinolophidae. The record is from Rfam by way of RNAcentral.
AUCCUUUUGUAGUUCGUAAGUAUGAUGACUGGGUGUUCAUGCUCUUGCGUGAGAUGUGCCUCCCACAAAUCUUGUUACAACAUCGGCACAUUACCCGUCUGACG